Molecule: RNA transcript, 2173 nt
Organism: Triticum aestivum (bread wheat)
Lineage: Eukaryota; Viridiplantae; Streptophyta; Magnoliopsida; Poales; Poaceae
Gene name: 4-coumarate--CoA ligase-like 5
Exons: 6
Source: RefSeq, a predicted model, not a curated record
GCCUCCAUUGCGAUCUGCGAGUUGCGACGGGAGGACCGGAUAAGCCACGUCACUCCUCCGCCUGUUCUGCGCUGUUUCUCCGUCGAAAACACCACAAACAAAGCAAAACUUCCAAUGGCCGAACCGGCGGCGGCGCCCGCCGGGAUCGACCCGCGCAGCGGAUUCUUCGCGGCCACGCGGACCUUCCACAGCGUCCGCUCCGCCUCGGCGGGCGCGCUGCCGCCGGAGGCGCUCCCGGUCACGGCCGCGGCCUACGCCUUCUCGCUGCUCGCCUCCCCGCUCCCCGACCGCCCCGCGCUCGUCGACGCCUCCACCGGCAUUGCCGUCUCCUACCCGUCCUUCCUCGCCGCCGUCCGCUCCCUCGCGGGCGGCCUCUGGUCCUCCCUCGGCCUCCGCCCCGGGGACGUGGCGCUCGUCGUCGCGCCCUCGCGCCUCGACGUCCCCGUGCUCCACUUCGCGCUCAUGUCCAUCGGCGCCGUCGUGUCCCCCGCCAACCCGGCCUCCACCCCCGAGGAGUACGCGCACCAGGUCGCCCUCUCAAGGCCCGUCGUCGCCUUCGCCGCGCCCGAGGUCGCCGCCAAGCUGCCCGCCCACGUCAGGUCCGUCGUCCUCGGGUCCGAUGCGUACGAGAGGCUGGUGUCUGCAUGCGCGGGGUCCGCUCCCCCGCCGAUGGCGGUGAAGCAGUCAGACACGGCGGCCGUGCUCUACUCGUCGGGAACGACCGGCAGGGUGAGGGCCGUCGCCAUCACGCACCGCAACCUCAUCGCACUGAUGUGCACGCACUCCGAGAACCGGAAGAGGGCGGCAGCGGAGGCCACCGAGGCGGGCGAGGAGCCGCCGCCGCCGGCCGUCACGCUGCUCCCGCUCCCCCUGUUCCACGUCUUCGGGUUCAUGAUGGUCCUGCGCUCCGUGUCCAUGGGGGACACGACCGUGCUCAUGGAGCGCUUCGACUUCGGUGCCGUGCUGCGGGCGAUAGAGCGGUACCGCGUCACGCUGCUGCCCGCGGCGCCGCCGGUCCUGGUGGCCAUGAUCAAAUCCGAGGAGGCGCGCCGCCACGACCUCUCGUCGCUCCUCGUCAUCGCUGUCGGCGGCGCGCCCCUUGGCCGGGAGGUCGCCGAGCGCUUCGCCGCUAUCUUCCCCAGCGUCCAGAUUGUUCAGGGCUAUGGUCUGACGGAAUCAUCUGGCGCUGUCGCCGGGACGGUAAGGCCGGAGGAGUCCAUGAAGUACGGCUCCGCCGGCAAGCUGGGGUCGCGCCUGCAGGCGAAGGUAGUCGAUCCGGCUACCGGCGAGGCGCUCGGGCCGGGCCAGCGCGGCGAGCUCUGGAUUAGGGGCCCACUCGUCAUGAAAGGUUAUGUUGGCGAUUACAAAGCAACUGCAGAAACAGUGGACUCAGAUGGCUGGCUGAAAACUGGCGACCUUUGCUACUUCAAUGAAGAUGGAUUUCUCUACAUUGUUGAUCGUUUGAAGGAGUUGAUAAAGUACAAAGGAUACCAGGUGCCUCCAGCUGAACUGGAGCAUAUUCUAACAUCACAUCCUGGAAUUGCUGAUGCUGCAGUUAUCGGCAUGUGGCAGUAUAUAAGAUGCCCCCUCCUAUGCACUAUGCAGAUAUCCAGAUGAAGAUGCUGGGCAAGUGCCAAUGGCUUUUAUAGUGAGGCAACCAGGUUUAAACCUUACUGGCCAACAAGUCAUAGAUUACGUGGCUAAACAUGUUGCGCCCUACAAGAAAGUCCGCCGAGUGGCCUUCGUAGCGGCAAUACCCAAAUCUCCUGCGGGGAAGAUCUUGCGGCGGGAGCUUGUGCAGCAGGCCAUGUCCAUGGGUGCCUCCAAGCUUUGAGAUGUAAUUCGCUGUGCAGAUUUAGACGAUUUCUUUUUAGAGAGGAGGCGCUUGCCCGGCUUUAGCAAACUGAAGCCCUUAUAGCGUUUAUAACAAGGAAUAAAAAAGGUAACAAAAAUAAAAGGAUACAACACUAUUCUUGUCCGAAAAAUUGAACCUCAAAUGCUCACCCUAUUUCCCUGUAAACACCGUGUAGCCCUUGGGACGAAAUGUAAUUUCUUUUGAGUGAAGAGGGUGCAAGGAUCGUUCGUUCGUGCAGAGUCUGAUAGAACAUGUCUGUUGCAAGGAUGGUUGAAAAGCUAUUUGCUAUUGAUGAAUUCACUCAGGUUUGUCAUCUGA